This 184-nucleotide ribosomal RNA is filed under the name uncultured bacterium. RNAcentral describes it as "partial 16S ribosomal RNA". The record is from RNAcentral.
AUUACCGCGGCUGCUGGCACGUAGUUAGCCGGUGCUUAUUCUUCAGGUACCGUCAUUCCCGGACUGUGUUAGAGCCGGUGUUUCUUCCCUGACAAAAGAGCUUUACAACCCGAAGGCCUUCUUCACUCACGCGGCAUUGCUGGAUCAGGGUUUCCCCCAUUGUCCAAAAUUCCCCACUGCUGCA